RNAcentral lists this small RNA (163 nucleotides) under Dorea formicigenerans. RNAcentral's name for it is "Clostridiales-1 RNA". It matches the Rfam family "Clostridiales-1 RNA". The record is from RNAcentral. Lineage: Bacteria; Bacillati; Bacillota; Clostridia; Lachnospirales; Lachnospiraceae.
AUACCAGUGUCAUAAAUCUAUUUUCAUUUUGUGCUUGCACAAAAAUGAAAGUUAGAUUUCAUGACAUGCCCAGAUAUGAGCCUAGAAGCGUGGCGUAAGCUGCGCGAUAUGCGAAUAUCUGAUAGAAUUGCGAGAGUGUACAGCACGCAGCAAUUCGUAUGGU